Molecule: ribosomal RNA, 572 nt
Filed under: uncultured fungus
Lineage: Eukaryota; Fungi
Description: eukaryotic LSU rRNA
Rfam family: 5.8S ribosomal RNA (bases 220-373)
Source: RNAcentral
AAGUCGUAACAAGGUUUCCGUAGGUGAACCUGCGGAAGGAUCAUUACUGAGUGAGGGCCCUCUGGGUCCAACCUCCCACCCGUGUUUAUUGUACCUUGUUGCUUCGGUGCGCCCGCCUCACGGCCGCCGGGGGGCUUCUGCCCCCGGGCCCGCGCCCACCGAAGACACCAUUGAACUCUGUCUGAAGAUUGCAGUCUGAGCAUAAACUAAAUAAGUUAAAACUUUCAACAACGGAUCUCUUGGUUCCGGCAUCGAUGAAGAACGCAGCGAAAUGCGAUAACUAAUGUGAAUUGCAGAAUUCAGUGAAUCAUCGAGUCUUUGAACGCACAUUGCGCCCCCUGGUAUUCCGGGGGGCAUGCCUGUCCGAGCGUCAUUGCUGCCCUCAAGCACGGCUUGUGUGUUGGGCUCCGUCCCCCCGGGGACGGGCCCGAAAGGCAGCAGCGGCACCGAGUCCGGUCCUCGAGCGUAUGGGGCUUUGUCACCCGCUCUGUAGGCCCGGCCGGCGCCAGCCGACAACCCAUCAUCCUUUUCAGGUUGACCUCGGAUCAGGUAGGGAUACCCGCUGAACUUAA